GGCUGGACAAAAGCCGCCUUUCCGGACAAGAUGGACGUCGCGCAGGACUUGAAUCUUUUAUGACCUACGCCGAGCUAAAAGAAUCACUUUCUAGGUAGAAAGGAAUUCUGCGGCGGAUUUUUACUCGCUAUUAUUUAUACAAUAAAUUCUAGGGUCGACCGAGUGACGUCACGAGGCUUAGUUUGAAAAAUCAAGAUGGCGCCCGGCACGAUGCUCUAGGUUGUUCCACGAUUGUUCUAUGGAGUUUACAGGCAUAAAUCGAGAACAUGGAUGGGGAAUGCCGUUGAUAGUUGGUAGAGAAAAUAGCGAUCGUGGAUGAUAUCGCCGAGUCAAGACGGACGAGAAGCCGGGCGCAGGAAGGUCGGCCCAAAAAGAUGUCGACCACGGCCCGAAAUAAGAGACCCGACACCUUGCGACAAAUCUGACUCUCUGCUCCGUUUCUCCUGUAUCUAAUGGCUACCAUGCAACGAAAGGGGAGACUACAGGGGUGAUAAGAUUCGAGUUACCUUUCAUCGAUGUCACCUGUCGGGAUCCAUAACUCGACGCACAAAUUUGGCAGCCAGCUGUCACGACUGACAGCCACCAGGUUGGACGGAUGCUUCUCGCGCCGCGUUUCUUGGCCAAAUCUGGCGAACACUCCUGGCAACGUGGCGGACAAUGGAAGGGCGAUACCGGGGUUCAUAACAAAACGGAGAUGUCAGGGUGUCGGCCUGCCAUCUUGGUCUCGCGACGAAAAUCAAUGCGAGACCACGCGGUGUAACAUGCGCAUGCUACACACGUGUCCAGCUCCGGAUGACAGGGUCUUCAGGUACGCCCUUAGGGGUUCGCGACUCUGCUAGGUGCAAUCGAUGGUGUCGGUAAAAGGGCUGGUAAAAAGGCGGCAAGUGGUGGUCCCUUAUCAACCAAUAACCGAGAAGUUCGUCGCGUCGACGGCGACAUCGUCGGUAAGGUCGCGUGCUAUCUCGUCGUGGUUACGGGGGUGGACAACCCCGAGGGUGCAAGCUCUGUCGGUACCACUGGAUGCGUAUGAUACGAUUCGAGCUAGAAAUUCAAGCCUAGCCGGUACGGCAGUGAUCCAGCAAUCUCUGGGGGUGGGUGGUCGGAAAAGCAUUCGGGCGCUCGAGCUCAAUUAAUUUAGUGUGGACUAAUGGACUGACGUAGGAGCUCCAGCGCUCCGCUACAAUCCGAAGCUACAAAUUAUUCGGCAGCUGCCGGUGGAGUUCCGCUUUAACGCGGACGAGCCGCAAGUUCCCUUCCUUCACUCCUAUCGCAAGUCACGAGGAUCCUGCAGAAGUAACCAGGCCUCACUUGACGAGGAAUUGCAAGUGCGGUAGAUCUGAAUUAUAUCGCCGCCGUAAAGCUCCCUCGGAGGCGGGCGAGGAAAAAGUAAUUUAAUCGUGAGCGGAUCGGCUUUCCCGUUUGAAUUAAUCAGACUGACGCUCUAUAACCAGAUCGGCCGAAGUAAUCGACACGGAUUCCAGCGACAGCGGCUUGGCAUAUGGAACGACUUUCGAGGGAGACAACUGCGGUGUCCGGCCUCAAAGACGGAAGAAGAAAUCGACAACGAGCGGUUUUUGGAAAUCUCCU
This is a long non-coding RNA of Orussus abietinus, 1587 nucleotides long. RefSeq lists it as uncharacterized. The transcript has 5 exons. NCBI's taxonomy places the organism in Eukaryota, Metazoa, Arthropoda, Insecta, Hymenoptera, Orussidae. The record is from RefSeq and is a predicted model, not a curated record.